RNAcentral lists this ribosomal RNA (463 nucleotides) under Vreelandella stevensii. RNAcentral describes it as "partial 16S ribosomal RNA". It matches the Rfam family "Bacterial small subunit ribosomal RNA", at positions 338 to 795 of the family's 1533-position model. The record is from RNAcentral. Lineage: Bacteria; Pseudomonadati; Pseudomonadota; Gammaproteobacteria; Oceanospirillales; Halomonadaceae.
CCUACGGGGGGCUGCAGUGGGGAAUAUUGGACAAUGGGCGAAAGCCUGAUCCAGCCAUGCCGCGUGUGUGAAGAAGGCCUUCGGGUUGUAAAGCACUUUCAGUGGGGAAGAAAGCCUUGGGGCUAAUACCCUCGAGGAAGGACAUCACCCACAGAAGAAGCACCGGCUAACUCCGUGCCAGCAGCCGCGGUAAUACGGAGGGUGCGAGCGUUAAUCGGAAUUACUGGGCGUAAAGCGCGCGUAGGCGGUCUGAUAAGCCGGUUGUGAAAGCCCCGGGCUCAACCUGGGAACGGCAUCCGGAACUGUCAGGCUAGAGUGCAGGAGAGGAAGGUAGAAUUCCCGGUGUAGCGGUGAAAUGCGUAGAGAUCGGGAGGAAUACCAGUGGCGAAGGCGGCCUUCUGGACUGACACUGACGCUGAGGUGCGAAAGCGUGGGUAGCAAACAGGAUUAGAUACCUAGUGUC